CUGAAUUACUUACAGCAGACAUUAGGGAGGGGACACAAUGUUUGUCUUACUAAUUACUAUAGGCUAGCAAGAGGAAUUGGGAAAUUACUAGAAUAGGUUAGAGAGGUGUUCAAGUAGUCCCAAGAAUUGCCAUCCAAUAGUAGUUGUGAUCAUUCUAUUCCUUUAUUGUUGGGGCUAAAGCAUGCAAGCAUGAGACCCUACUGAUAUCCUCAUUUCCACAAAGAUGAAAUUCAAAAACAGGAAAUGUUGUGUAGGGAUUAUUCGUCCUAUUAUAAGUCCUUAUUUAAUCCCAAUUAUAGAUGCUAUCUACAGAAUGUUCGUGAAGUCGUGAACUGUCAGGCUUCAGGCCCUUAACAAGAUAUGCGAUUGUGUUAUCGUCAGAUAAGGAUGGAGGAAAUAUAAAAGAGACAACCUUUAGAAGUCACGAGUGUAAUUACGAGGAUUUAGUUAUGUUGUUCGGCUUCGCCAAUGCUCCAUCUAUACUAAUAUGAAUAACUACUUUUGGCUAUAUUUGAGGGAAACGGUGCUAGUAUUCUUCCAUAGGGCUCUACGUGGCAGUAGCUUUUUCAGCACGUGGAAGAUCUAAGAUUGAGUAUCCUUUUCAAUAUGCCAUGUCAAUAUGUCAUCUCUGGUCAGGGAGAAGCAGGAAAGGAAUUGCACAGGGCUCACGGUUCAUCCUCAGAAUCAGAAACCAACUAUGAUCCCUCUCAAUUUCAUAGUAAUACUAUUCUGAUAUAAAGCUUAUCUUAUGGCUCUCCUGUGAUGAAUCUUAAUGAUUACUAUGUUAGGAUUCUUUCAGUUUUCUUUACUAAAGCUUUCUGUGAUUUGAUCUACGCUGAAUGGCAUUUGCUGAACUUGGUUGUGUUUGCUUUCGGUGUUGCCCUCACUGAAUGUGAUUGCAAGUAUAGUUGGAAGAAUUUGUUUUAAAGUCUGUUCUCAUGUUUGAGUGAGUGUUAUGCAAUCUGUGCAAAUUCUGUUAGUGGCUCUGCUUUACUAAGGUACAAUUUGGUGGUGUUGGUGUGGGAUUUGGAUUCCCUGCAGUAAGGAAUUCCACACAUUCAGGCCAUUGGUGUAUGUCUGAUCUUUGAUCAAACGGACCACAACAUACUGAUUUUAAUUUUAAUUAUACAAUUUAAAAUACCGAGUUUAAAUUUGAACUGUCUGAUCUUAAUUGAAUGAUCGCUGAUGUCCCGAAUGUGUGGAUGCGGGCUCACUGACGACAGUGAAGCCGGACCCAGUGGUGUGUAUGAGCAAGCAAGAUUUAUAGUUUUUUCCUUCCUGCUGUACACUUGAUUUUAUGCUUGGCUUGCCUGCUGAAGUGAAAGAUUGUCCAUUCUCUGUAAAUUAUCAUCUUAUGGGAGAGAAGAAAAUGGGAACUCGAAGGGUUUUUGGUUUCAAAAGUAGUUCAGCAAUAUCUAAUAACGGAUUGAUUGUCUAUUGAGUAUCGAAUUGUUUUCAAACUUCAUGUUAAAGAGUCUCAUUCGGAUGAGAUAAGGCUUCACAAAAUGUUUAUAAGUGGUGAGUAAUCUUCACCCAACAAACCGAUUUUGUGGGAGUUAUGUAAACCGAUUUUGUGGGAGUUAUGUAGGAUCUAAUUUAAAUUCUAAGAUGUAAAAACCAAUUUCUUUGAUUAUGGUAGAUUAUGAAUAACAAUUAAUACUCUUUUUUAA
This is a non-coding RNA of Cicer arietinum (chickpea), 1670 nucleotides long. NCBI's taxonomy places the organism in Eukaryota, Viridiplantae, Streptophyta, Magnoliopsida, Fabales, Fabaceae. The record is from RefSeq and is a predicted model, not a curated record.